Molecule: ribosomal RNA, 386 nt
Filed under: uncultured bacterium
Lineage: Bacteria
Description: bacterial SSU rRNA
Rfam family: Bacterial small subunit ribosomal RNA
Source: RNAcentral
AACGAACGCUGGCGGCAUGCCUAACACAUGCAAGUCGAACGAGACCUUCGGGUCUAGUGGCGCACGGGUGCGUAACGCGUGGGAAUCUGCCCCUUGGUUCGGAAUAACAGCGAGAAAUUGCUGCUAAUACCGGAUAAUGACGUAAGUCCAAAGAUUUAUCGCCAAGGGAUGAGCCCGCGUAGGAUUAGCUAGUUGGUGUGGUAAAGGCGCACCAAGGCGACGAUCCUUAGCUGGUCUGAGAGGAUGAUCAGCCACACUGGGACUGAGACACGGCCCAGACUCUACGGGAGGCAGCAGUGGGGAAUAUUGGACAAUGGGCGAAAGCCUGAUCCAGCAAUGCCGCGUGAGUGAUGAAGGCCUUAGGGUUGUAAAGCUCUUUACCCGGG